UGUCCUUUACCUCUUGCAACCACUCUCCUGUUGUUGAGUUGAAAUUGGAGAGAAUAAGGUUAGGGGCACCCUUUCUUCUUCUGCAUCUGGGUUGUCCUGACACAAUCACUGCCUACUCCCUUGAGGAUAAUGAGUUAUGGCUUCGACAUUUGGUCGGGUUAAUCUCCCAGAUAGCAGGAGCAGCUUUUCUUGUUUACAGUUCAUGGAGUGGUAGCAAACUUAAUUAUGUCACCAUUCUAGUUAUGCUAGCAGGGAUAAUCAAAUAUGCUGAGAUAUGUAAGGAUUUUUUUUUUCAGAAACAACUGAGAAAUAAAUUUAAAAAGAUAAUUAAACUAAAUUUAUUUUACUGUAUAUUAAAAUGUGUAAGGGCCUCAGAAAAAUAAAUAAGCCAUUGGGCCUAAUAAGGGCAGCGGGCCCACUCGAAUUGGUCACAUGGCCUUGAGAGGGGUCCCUUUCCCCAAUUCAGAUUUUCAUUUCCUCAUUUCCCUUCUCUCUCUAGAACUCAGAUUUCUUAUUUUCUCUGACUUCUCUCUAACCUUGCUCCACCUUCUCUGUACCAAUUUCUCAAAUUUUCACCGUUGUUAUUUCAAUAGGUGGUCCCCCUACGUUCCCAGAGUCGAGAGCUUCCAAUCCAUCUGAUUAGUUUCGCAUCUCUCCACUGAUAAGGUACUAUCGGAAUUACCUCUGUGCGGAGGUAUUGUUAGGACGCUUUUAGGAACUGUGCUGUGAGAAUCAAAAGAUGGCGAGGAUGUUACUCUGGAGACAGUCUUGGAGGAGAACAGCGAUGCAACUGCUUAGUUCUGCUAGGAGAUUUCAUGACCCCCCUUAUGUUAUCUACAAACAAUUCCUUCUUAUGUUAUUCUGAAAUACUUUAGUGCUUCAAUUUUUAAAUUCCUACUCAAUUUGGAUAACUGUAAUCCCUAUACUCAAGACUCUUAACUGCCUGUCUGCACUCCAACUGCUUUCUUUAUUAUAAUGGAUGACGUCUUAUUAUUAUAUGCA
This is a long non-coding RNA of Vigna radiata var. radiata (mung bean), 1002 nucleotides long. RefSeq lists it as uncharacterized. Lineage: Eukaryota; Viridiplantae; Streptophyta; Magnoliopsida; Fabales; Fabaceae. The record is from RefSeq and is a predicted model, not a curated record. The transcript is spliced from 3 exons.